AUUGAACGCUGGCGGCAGGCCUAACACAUGCAAGUCGAACGGUAACAGGAAACAGCUUGCUGUUUCGCUGACGAGUGGCGGACGGGUGAGUAAUGUCUGGGAAACUGCCUGAUGGAGGGGGAUAACUACUGGAAACGGUAGCUAAUGCCGCAUAACGUCGCAAGACCAAAGAGGGGGACCUUCGGGCCUCUUGCCAUCGGAUGUGCCAAGAUGGGAUUAGCUAGUAGGUGGGGUAACGGCUCACCUAGGCGACGAUCCCUAGCUGGUCUGAGAGGAUGACCAGCCACACUGGAACUGAGACACGGUCCAGACUCCUACGGGAGGCAGCAGUGGGGAAUAUUGCGCAAUGGGCGCAAGCCUGAUGCAGCCAUGCCGCGUGUAUGAAGAAGGCCUUCGGGUUGUAAAGUACUUUCAGCGGGGAGGAAGGGAGUAAAGUUAAUACCUUUGCUCAUUGACGUUACCCGCAGAAGAAGCACCGGCUAACUCCGUGCCAGCCGCCGCGGUAA
Molecule: ribosomal RNA, 506 nt
Filed under: uncultured bacterium
Lineage: Bacteria
Description: partial 16S ribosomal RNA
Rfam family: Bacterial small subunit ribosomal RNA
Source: RNAcentral